GGGUGGGUGUGUGGGUGUGGCGUCAGAAUCGUGUCAAAACAAUCAAAGCAACUCGCAGCAACGUGUCUGUACACGCAUGAUUAUUUUCUUACGCAUGCGUGCGUGCGUGCGUUGUCGUGUGCAGAUUGUAUUUCACGCGUAACAAGAAGCUGCGUACGUAUGAAGCAGCGCGUACACGCCUGUCUGUCACUGUUUGACAAAUACUAUUACGCGUUCACACACGCGUGCGGUCGCCAUACACAAUAGAACCACGGCCGCCUUAAUGCACGGGCUUACCUGGGCUGAAACCCAGGGGCCUACCAAGUUCAGGGGCCUAUCAAUGAGCUGGAAAAGUCACACUGUUUUUGUUGCUUGUCAAGUUCUCUGUCAAUCAUUUUAUACUUCACAUUCGUGGCUGGCAAGACCCGCCCCACUCUCAUUGAUUACUGUUGUUGUUACGUCCACCUAACUUUCCCCCCUUGAGUGACAGCUGAAAAAUGACGGGAAAAAAGAAAUUUGAGAGCGGCGCUCACAAAAGAAAGGUGUUUCGGGACAAAGAAACCCAGAAAAAGCAAUUACUUAAGAGCAUCCCAAAGCUAACAGGAUUCUUUAAACUGUCCGAAACGGAUGGUGGUGGCUGUUCAGCGGCAUUGAGUUUACCGGAGGCAGCAGACGAGGCGGGGCUCGCGCAGGUAGAAGUAAGAGAGGAAAAGAGAAGAGGAGCGGUGGAUGAGGGAGGAGGAGACGAGGAGAAGGAUCAGGGAGGAGGAGACGAGUCCGGCAGUGGCCCUUACAGCAGCAACCCGGGCCUCUGGGGAAACAAAAUUGACCGGCAGGCGCGCGCUUACUGGGCGAAAAUGGGACCAGAGACGUGUCAAAAUAAAAAUGCCGACCUCCGUGCAUCAGAGCACACAUACAAACACUAGAGAAGAUUUUUCUCAAAAACAUAUUUCCACCGCAAACUGAGUAACGGGGAAUAUGUAAGUAGAGAGUGGCUUUAUUAUUAACCAUCAGUAUAGCGUGUUUUGUUUUGGUUUCAAGAUUUUUGGCGAGAGCAACGAAAAGUCUGCAUUUGUUAGUGGGAGUUUCUCUGACUGGAAACAUGCAGGUGAUCGUAUAUCAGAACAUGAAACCUCUGACAUCCACAGAAAAGCCAUGAUUGCUUACAUCAAUCAAGCAGCUGAGAGUGGGACAGUGGACUCAGAACUUAGAAAACAGUUUGAUGAGGAGUGUGAUUAUUGGGCACAGGUUCUACAGAGGGUUGUUACUGUUGUGAAGUAUUUAGCUGAGAGGGGACUAGCUUUCCGGGGAGACAGCCACAAGUUUGGAGACAUCAAGAAUGGAAAUUAUUUGGGCAGCAUGGAGCUGAUCAGCCAGUUUGAUCCCUUUUUAAAAGCUCACAUUGAAAAACAUGAAAACGCUGGCAAAGGAAAUCCAUCCCAUCUCUCUCUGAAUGUGUGUGAGGAAUUCAUACAGCUGAUGGGACAGAAGGGGCUGGAUGAAAUUACCAGCAGAGUAAAACUAGCAAAGUAUUUUGCUAUCAGUGUGGACUCGACACCUGACAUCACACAUGUGAUGUCAGGUGAUCUCCAUAUGAGAUUUUCAAUCUUUCACCCAUAUUGGUUUUAAGUAAAGCAUGCACUGAUGUUAUACAAGUGCAUUUUGUGUUCAUGUAAGUUGAUCAAUAAAAGUAUGCUGGUGUUUUCUGGCUAAAGAAGGAAACCUCACAGUUGUUUGUCGUAAAAGAAACUGAUGCAUUUUUUUUUUUAAUGUAGAGGAGUAGGGGGUCCUACAAAACCUCUCAGCCCCAGGGCCUACCAUUAGGUUAAGGCGGCUCUGAAUAGAACGUUUCUGCACCGUGCGUACCAGUCCGCCUCACAUGAGCGUGUCGUGUAAUUGGCCUUUUCAUUUUAGUCAGCCAGGAGAGGCAGCAGUGAGCCAUAGUGGCGGAAAAGAAGAAGACGAAGAAGAGUCUCCCCUUUUCGACCGAGGCAGUUCCGGUUCGAGGUUGGAGUUGGUGGCCGAUUCGACUCCGGUUUUUUGUUUUUCAACCGGCGGUGGGCCGCCUCCGGGCUCCAAAAACUGGGACUCGCACCAGCCCCAACUCGUUGCUGGGCCACAGGUGGCCCGAGGUGAGAGCCCAGUACGUCAGGGGCUGGGGUUACAGUCCGACCGUCAACAGCGGAAACACAGAAGCGCCGUUUUUAAACAGCCGAGCGAGCAGCAGUAAUGUUCAAUGUUUGUGUUUUAAAAACCGGUAAAUAUAGAAGCAAAAUCCAAGCAGCAACGGUCUGAGGAGGAGACCCAAAGCUUCCUGGAACUGUGGUCUUCAUAUGAAAUUCAGUGGAAGUUAGAGGGAGCCUCUUGGAUCACACCAGUGUUCGAAACAAUCCAGUGGGAGACGGCUACAGCUGUACGAACGGAGCCUGACUAACUCCUCAACAACUAAAAAGUUCAGAAAUGACGACAAGAACCAGAAAAGGCAGCCGGGAUGCAGCAGUUUUUGGCCAAAAAGAGCCCCGAUUUUUUCCGGCUGCAUUCCGUGAUUCCAACCAGGUCCCUGAACGUAACAGCUGAGCAUUCCGUGAUUCCAACCGGGUCCCUGAACGCAACAGCUGAGCAGGAGUUGAUGCAGGCCGCAGUACCGAUCAUGAUAGGUAAGUUUUAUUUCUUAAACACCCUGCUGUUAGCCGACUAUGAAUACGCCAGCUACAACAGAGCCACAUCAAUAUUAUGAACGUUACGCCAGCGAACGUGGUCCGGACACAGGAUCAGGUCGACUAUUUGCUAACCAGUUAGCCACUGCUAAGCUCGCAAGCUAUGAAACCGUCUUAUAAAACCUGAGAAAAGCAGCAGCAAUAUUUCAUUACCAGACCUGUAUUCAGAACCUCCCAUGUUGUUACACAAUGGCCCAUUAAUCAUAUUGCUGAACUAUAUGACAACCAUUGAAAUUUGCCUUGAAGAGCCAAUAAACUGUUUAACAUUAUUAAUACGAGUCUAAAACUUAUUCAAAAGAUCAAAUUAACACAAUGAAGUGAGGAAUACUGUUAAUGUGCAGCUAUUUUUUAUAAUUUCAAGGUAAAAUGCUGAUUGUUAUGUGAUUUUCCAGCUUUGCAGAAAAUUCAAUGCAUUCAUUACUUAUACACAGAUUUCUUUGAUGGUUUUUAGUUGUUACUCAAAUAUAUCAAGGCAUUUAGCACUGCUGGAAAUUAUUACAGGCAUUUUUUGUAACAUUCUCUAACAUCGUACGGACAAAUUAAUAAUUAAUGGAGAAAAUGGUUUUAAAUUACAGAUGCUAUCAACAACAUUUCUUGUUAAUUUUAUUUAGUUGUCGGCCUAGAAUGAUGAGGUCCAAUUACCAGGAUCACUACUCUGCAGCUUACUGGUUCCGUCCUGCAGCUCCUUCAUGCUGUCCUCCUCGCUACAGACCAAAUCAAGAUAAAGGAAGCAGGAUGCUACUGUGGAUCUGCUGCAGUAUCUGGAGACGUCAGAGGAACGGUUCUUGGAACAGAUCUGAAGACACCGAGACCUGACCACUGCCCUGCUCCAGAACAUCCAGAGGACGGAUGAAAAUUCAAUCACCUUUGCUGGACUGAUGGGACGCAUGGUGUCGGUGCUGGAGCGACUGUCACAGAAAUAAACUGCAUUGUCCACUAUUCCUACCUUUUUUAGAAAAAGUAAUCAUAUUUUUUAUAAAUUCUUUUCCUUCUUAGCUAUUUAAGUACACUGGUAUUUUACUGUUGCACUUUGGGUGAAUACAAAUAUAUUUGUGAUGAAAGAUGCGUGUUUUGUCUAUAAUCUACAGAGAUUUUAUUCAGUGUUAAGUGCACACUUCUACGUACACACAUUUUGACAGAUAAUCAGUUGUGCUUUUCAAGCAGAUUUCAUUCUGAAACAUAUCAGCAACAUACCAGUAUGUUGUUUCUUACAACAUAUGUCACACCAAGCUAGAUAAACUGCACUACUGCAGCAGAUAUAUUAUUGAAGUGUGCUUACAUUACAUGUCUACAUACACUACUCACAAAAAGUUACUCAACUUUCAGGUGACAUUUAUGGAAAUUGUAAAAAUUAAUGCUAUGGUGAUAUUAAAUCAUGAAAGUAGGGCAUUGAAGUAGAAACAUGCAAUCGUGAUUUCCUCAUCUCAAACAAUUUAUUAAAACAAAAGCUAACAGCAGUGAAGGGUAUAUCACAAUAAAAAUGUCUCAUGACAGUUUGCACAGAACAGCAGCUUUCAGCUGAAAUCCGGUACAGUUGUGUCCCACCAGUAGCGUGAUCACGGAUGUUCCCAGACAACAGCUGACCUCUGUCUCGUAAUUAAGAUCAUCUGUAAAGGUAAAUAUAGAUACUAUCAUCAAUUUAUUACGUUUGUUUAACUGCUAUGUAGGUUAGCCGCAGCAAGAUGGAGUAUCUGUGUGUGAAUGAGAGGGACCCAAGUGGAAGAGUGAGGUUACAGGGAGAAGAGAUCAAGAAGGUGGAGGAUUUUAAGUACUUCGGGUCAACAGUCCAGAGCAAUGGAGAGUGUGGAAAAGAGGUGAAGAAGCGUGUACGUGCAGGCUGGAACGGCUGGAGAAAAGUGUCAGGUGUGAUAGAAGAGUUUCAGCUAAAAUGAAAGGAAAGGUUUACAAAACUGUGCUGAGACCAGCCAUGUUGUUUGGUCUGGAGACUGUGUCCCUGAGGAAAAGACAGGAGGCAGAACUGAAGAUGCUGAGGUUCUCUUUGGGAGUGACCAGGAUGGAUAGAAUCAGGAAUGAGUACAUCAGAGAGACAGCACAUGUUAGAGGCUUUGGAGAUAAAGUCAGAGAGGCCAGACUGAGAUGGUUCAGACAUGUCCAGAGGGGAGAGGGUGAAUAUAUUGGUAGAAGGAUGCUGAGUUUCCCACUGCCAGGCAGGAGGCCUAGAGGAAGACCAAAGAGGAGGUUUAUGGAUGUGGUUAAAGAGAACAUGAAGGUAGUUGGUGUGAGAGAAGGGGAUGCAGCAGACAGGGUUAGAUGGAGGCAAUUGAUUCGCUGUGGCGACCCCUGAAGGGAAAAGCCGAAAGGAAAAGAAGUUUAACCGCUAUGUAAUGGAUGCAAACGUAUUUGAGGCUAAGUAGCUAAGCUAAAUGAAUUAUGGAAUAAUAAUAAACGUCAGAAGAACUGCAGCCUAGUGGCUCGGGGCUGUGAAGCCUGAGAACCUAAUUUAAAUAAUAAUAAUAAUAAAAACUGGGUAAGUUUAUCCCCGUGUUUUGGAACAAUAGCGCCACCAGCUGGAACCGAACAACUACACGACGCGCUCAUGUUACGCAUUAUGCUGCGCACGGUGCAGAUCAACAACUAUUGUGUACAAUCAGAAAUUGCGACCGCACGCGUGUGUGAGCGCGUAAAAGUAUUUGUCAAACAGUGACAGACAGGCGUGUACACGCUGCUUCAUACGCACGCAGCUUCUUGUUACGCGUGACAGAGUUCGCGCACGUCAUUUCCGCGUACGUGAGCGCGUGACCGAAAUGUUCUAUUAUCUUCAUGUGAGCGUUAAUGCGUGCGUUUGUAAAAAAAACGCAUGAAUUUUACGCGUGACCGCUCCGCGUAGUGUGAUUGCCGGUGCGCAGCAAUGGUCACACGUGAACGCACGCGUGAACGGGAGGCCAUUAUAAGUCAAUGGGGAAACUGCAUUACGCGUCAGGCGCACAGGCGUCAAAGUACGCGCGCGUGUGACACGUUCAGUUGAUAGCUGCGCACGCUUUUUGACACGAUUCUGACGCCAUAGUGUGUGUGUGUGUGUGUGUGUGUGUGUGUGUGUGUGUGUGUGUGUGUGUGUGUGUGUUAUGGCGUCUGAAUCGAUUCAAAACAAAGCAACUCGCAGCAACGUGUGUGUACAUGCAUGAUUAUUAUGUUACGCGUGCGUGCGUGCGUUAUAACGUGCAGAUUGUAUUUCAUGUGUAACAAGAAGCUGCGUACCUAUGAAGCAGCGCCUGCACGCCUGUCUGUCACUGUUUGACAAAUACUGUUACGCGUUCACACGCGUGCGGUCGCAAUUUCUGAUUGUACACAAUAGAAAGUACGGCACGGUGCAGAUCAACGUUCUAUUGUGGACAAUCAGAAAUUGCGACUGAACGCAUAACAGUAUUUGUCAAACAGUGACAGACAGGCGUGUACGCGCUGCUUCAUAUGCACGCAGCUUCUUGUUACGCGUGACAGAGUUCGCGCACCUCAUUUCCGCGUACGUGUGAGCGCGUGACUGAAAUGUUCUGUUAUCUUCAUGUGAGCGUUAAUGCGUGCGUUUGUAAAAAAAAAAACAAAACGCAUGAAUGUUACGCGUGGCCACUCCGCGUCGUGCGAAUGAUGGAGUGCAGCAAUGAUCACACGUGAACGUGCGCGUGAACGGGAGGCCAUUAUAAGUCAAUGGGGAAACUCCAUUACGCGUCAGGCGCACAGGCGUCAAAGCACGCGCGUGUGACACGUUCAGUUGAUAGCUGCGCACGCUUUUUGAAACGUUUCUGACGCCAUAUGUGUGUGUGUGUGUGUGUGUGUGUGUGUGCGCGCGCGCGCGCGCGCAUGCGUGUGUGUGUUGCAUGCAUACGUGCGCAAGUGUGUUUGUAUUAGCAGGUGUGAAUAGGUGUGUGUGUGUGUGUGUGUGUGUGUGUGUGUGGGUGUGUAAACUGACGGUCACAUUGAGAAAACAGAAAAGUGAGAGGAAAAAUACUGAUCCAAGAUAUAAUUCCUGAAAAUGUUUUCCUCAGUGUUUCUCAUGUUGAUCAUUUUCCUGAGGUGAAUGUGAUAUCAAACCAAUGAAGUUUAUGCUGCGCCCAUUUUUAAAAAAAAACAUUUAAUAGAUUAUUAUAAAUUGGAAUGGAUUUUUUUGGCACAUAUUUAAGGAAAAUGAAGGCAAAAUCAUUUCAGAUAAAGCAUCACAGGCCAAAUGUGAUGACUUAGUCACCUCUUACUGAAUGUUUAUUAUUAACACAUAAAAAAAUAAAGGAUGCCAGACUAUAAUUUUCAUGAUGAUAAUCCAGAAUUGCAUAUGCAAAACGCCUGCCAGUUUCACAUUAAAAUCAAAUCAUUCUUCUCUUUAAUAGUAGAGUAAGUGAUUCUAAUCUAUGCAGUUUUUCUCUUCUGUUCAGCAAAUUUCUCCUCAUAGUCUGAUUGUUUAUGUUCUGUAAAAAUAUCCAGUGUUCACACAGAGCGUGGCUCUGUAAAGGGAAAACAGAGGGGCUAUUCUAGUGUGUCCUGUGCAUACACAAAGGGGGGAGUGCAGUGUUAGCAAGACUGAUCUUAAACCUGACUCAUGCUAGCUAUCUAAAUAUGCUAACUAUCUAAAUAUCGACACUCUUUUUUACCAGAAUAACAAACCUUAAAAAUGUAAAUCUUUUUGCGUGGGCCAGUAAUAAUAACAAUGUACUGUCCCAUGUAAUUACGUAGAUCUGGGAAGUCUAGAGUAUCAGGAUACAUGAAUGGUCAGAUGAUCAGACAGGUUUAGUUAAAAUUGCUUAGAGGGAAAAAGCAAAGUUGAAUCACACAAUGAUCGUUUAUAGACCCUCCUGUUUCAGCUUUGACCCAAUUUUCCUAAGUAAUGUGCAAAAAGUUUUUUUUCCACGUCAGUGAGGGAUAAUUGCUGAUGUUUUUGGUACACUCACAUGUACAUUUGAUCUUCAAAUAAGUGGUUAUGGUUAACCUGGAUAAGGUGUUUAUUUCUAACCUGACUGAUCAUCUCACUGUUUGUGUUUUGUUGUAAUAAUGUUGCCAUUCCUAGAAACAGAAGUAGUCAAUAGAAAAUAAAUUUCUAUUUUCUUAGUAAGUAGGUAGCAAUAAAUUGGAAUUACCCUGAAAGGCUUGUAUUUUGUCUCAAAUACUGGCUCUAUAAUGGCCUGGGCACAUCAGAAAUUUGCAGAGUAUGAAUCUUUUUUUGCUUUAAUGAAGCAGCAUCGGGGCUUAGUGUCAAGCUAGUGUAAAAAGAGAAAAAAUCAGCACUAUAAUGAGUUGCAAUCUACAAGUUAUGAGUGUGGUCCUGUUAUGCACAAACUGAGCACACCAGGGUCAUGUGCCUGCUUUUAAUACAAGAACAAGAUUGGGACCUGUGUUAUAUGCGUUUUUGUGACCGCUUAUAGGUUUCCAUUUGUGAUUUUACCACGGACGUAAAGGAGGACAAAGUCUUCAAAAAUCUCCAUCAACACGACUGGGAUGACUCAAUUGCCAGGCCAAGGAUUAUCAUCGGUGAUGAGAGGUGGGGCACUGCUACAACCCACAGGACAAACAGCACUUUUUAGAAGAAGGGCUCACAGUCUCCAAAACUGGUCAGGUCAGGAACACACCAAGAGCAUGCUCAUCAUUUUCCUUGACAUUCAAGGGGUUAUGCACUGUGAAUUCAUCACUCAGGGUCAGACAGUCAACAUCGAGUUCUACUGUCACAUCCUGAGGCAUCAGAGUAAGAACAUUUGGUGCCAAGGAUCUGAAGUGUGAUGUGAUGGCACAGCAGGGAAAGGCUGUCAAGAACAACAACACGCAGCCUGUGAAUUUGCUGACUCAUACAUUAAAUUUUAAUUGACACAUAUUAAGAAAUCAUCGACUUAAAUGUAAAUAAUAAUUGCCCUUCAAUUUGUAUUUUGUUAGACAACAAUAAAUAACAAAUCCAACCUGA
This is a long non-coding RNA of Acanthochromis polyacanthus (spiny chromis), 8589 nucleotides long. RefSeq lists it as uncharacterized. The transcript is spliced from 2 exons. The record is from RefSeq and is a predicted model, not a curated record. Lineage: Eukaryota; Metazoa; Chordata; Actinopteri; Pomacentridae.